RNAcentral lists this ribosomal RNA (407 nucleotides) under uncultured bacterium. RNAcentral describes it as "partial 16S ribosomal RNA". It matches the Rfam family "Bacterial small subunit ribosomal RNA", at positions 28 to 526 of the family's 1533-position model. The record is from RNAcentral.
GAUGAACGCUCGCGAUAGGCUUAACACAUGCAAGUCGAGGGACCGGCGCACGGGUGCGUAACGCGUAUGCAACUUGCCUCACAGAGGGGGAUAACCCGUCGACAGACGGACUAAUACCGCGUACUGUGAGAUAGGCAUGCGUCCCAUUAGGUAGUUGGUGAGGUAACGGCUCACAAAGGCAACGAUGGCGAGGGUAACUGAGAGGGUGAAACCCCAAACUGGUACUGCGACCCGUAACAGACUCGUACUGGAGGCAGGAGUGAGGAAUAGUGGUCAGUGGGCGAGAGCCUGAAACAGCCGAGUCGCGUGAAGGAUGACUGUCGAUGGAUUGUAAACUUCUUUUUUAGGGGAAUAUGUACCCUACGAAUAAGCAUCGGCUAACUCCGUGCCAGCCGCCGCGGUAAUAC